This is a long non-coding RNA of Rosa chinensis, 585 nucleotides long. RefSeq lists it as uncharacterized. The record is from RefSeq and is a predicted model, not a curated record. The transcript is spliced from 2 exons. NCBI's taxonomy places the organism in Eukaryota, Viridiplantae, Streptophyta, Magnoliopsida, Rosales, Rosaceae.
GAAGAAUAGCAGAAGAUCACGCCAUUGAAGGUCUUGACACACCUUCAAAAUUGCCGAUGUCAUAUUCUUUCCCCGAUGCACCUUCAAAAUUGCCAGCUUUCCAUCACCAACCUUGAAUGUCGCGCCGAAAAGAGGUUGAAGCCUUUGUUGAAGAUGAAUGCCUCGAAUGAUGUCGUAGAGGGUUGGUUGCUAGGUUAGUUAAUUCAGGAGAAUAGUUUUUUAUGAACAUCAUUUUGGGACGGCUGGAAUUGGAGCUAGCGAUGUGCUUCUGCAUACCACUUGUCUAUGUUCGUGUUGGAAAGAUCAACAAGCAAGGUAUUCUAUUGUGCCCUUCCAAUUCAAAGUAAGUAUAUAUUGACCUAAAAAUCAAAAUCCAAGUUAUGAUGGCAAAGAGUUGUCACUCAAGCUUCAUGGUGAUGGAAAGUUGGGCAAUUUUGAAGGUGCAUCGUGGAAAGAAUAUGAUCUGGCAUGGGUAAUUUUAAAGAGCAUCAAGAGAUUCAAUGACAUGAUCUUCUAUUUUUUUCUUCUUCUUUUGAUCGUGUACAGUAUUGAUAAGAAUAGUACUCCUUAUUCUUCUUCCUCUUU